RNAcentral lists this long non-coding RNA (575 nucleotides) under Chinchilla lanigera (long-tailed chinchilla). Its description in RNAcentral is "lncRNA (ENSCLAG00000027380.1)". Lineage: Eukaryota; Metazoa; Chordata; Mammalia; Rodentia; Chinchillidae. The record is from RNAcentral.
CUGCUGGGGACACUUUCUUCCCUUGAGUUUCCGUCCACUGCUGCUCCACGCAGGACCUCUGGCCAGACUCCUCCGCCUCGCUCAUCCUCUCCCAGGGGAGCCGAGAGGCUAAGCUAACUGGAGAGUUUGAGGUUCAGGCAGGAAAACUAGGAUCGAGUGACUUCGCUCCUUCCCUGGUUGGGAUCAUUCGCUUCUGCUCCUCGGUGCCACAACCUUUGCAGAGGUCAGCUGUUGAGAGAGAACGCCGCUUGUAGCUGGGUAGCCGUUUCUUGUACAAACAUUGAAAAGUUCUUCCCAGGGCUCAAGCGGUUUGCGCUCAUAUGCACCUGUCACUGCCCACGUGGAGGGAGUUUCUGCUGGAGACCAGCUUGGAUUUUCUGCAGUUCAAGCUUUACUUCACCACUGUUAAUCCUCAGAGGGACUCAGUCUUGCUCAACACUAUAUCCCAGUGAUGCCUGGAACAUCCUAGGCCUUCAUAAAUAUCUGUUAAGUGAAGUGACAGGUGAGGGGAUGGAUGGAUGGAUGGAUGGAUGGAUGGAUGGAUGGAUGGAUGGGGGGAUGGAUGGGUGGGGAAU